GCCUGUGUGGCAUAGCUGGUAUGUUGGCGGAUUUAUGUUAUGUAAUCCGAGUAUGCGUGUUCAAUUCACAUCACAGUUG
Molecule: non-coding RNA, 79 nt
Organism: Mycena rosella
Lineage: Eukaryota; Fungi; Basidiomycota; Agaricomycetes; Agaricales; Mycenaceae
Source: the annotation of a GenBank genome assembly